AUGGAAAGAUUGAACUCAAAGCUGUACUUACAAAACUGUUACAUAAUGAAAGAAAAUGAGAGGCUGAGGAAGAAAGCACAGCUUUUGAAUGAAGAGAAUCAACAACUAUUAUGUGAGUUGAAGAAGAAGCUUUCAAAGAAGGGUGGAAAUAAUGGUCCAAAUAGUACCAAUUUUGACCUUAACCUUAGUUCUGGUUCUGGUCAAAACAAUGCAAGUUAA
Vicia faba (fava bean) is the source of this 219-nucleotide non-coding RNA. Lineage: Eukaryota; Viridiplantae; Streptophyta; Magnoliopsida; Fabales; Fabaceae. The record is from the annotation of a GenBank genome assembly.